Molecule: ribosomal RNA, 253 nt
Filed under: uncultured bacterium
Lineage: Bacteria
Description: partial 16S ribosomal RNA
Rfam family: Bacterial small subunit ribosomal RNA
Source: RNAcentral
UACGGAGGGUGCAAGCGUUAUCCGGAUUCACUGGGUUUAAAGGGUGCGUAGGUGGGUCUGUAAGUCCGUGGUGAAAUCUCCGAGCUUAACUUGGAAACUGCCAUGGAUACUAUAGGUCUUGAAUACUGUGGAGGUCAGCGGAAUAUGUCAUGUAGCGGUGAAAUGCUUAGAUAUCAGGAGGAACACCGGUGGCGAAGGCGGCUACCUGGACAGAGUCUGACGCUGAGGCGCGAAAGCGUGGGUAGCAAACGGG